RNAcentral lists this ribosomal RNA (301 nucleotides) under uncultured bacterium. RNAcentral describes it as "partial 16S ribosomal RNA". It matches the Rfam family "Bacterial small subunit ribosomal RNA", at positions 509 to 807 of the family's 1533-position model. The record is from RNAcentral.
CAGUCGCCGCGGUAAUACGUAGGGUGCGAGCGUUAAUCGGAAUUACUGGGCGUAAAGCGUGCGCAGGCGGUUUUGUAAGACAGGCGUGAAAUCCCCGGGCUCAACCUGGGAAUGGCGCUUGUGACUGCAAAGCUAGAGUGCGGCAGAGGGGGAUGGAAUUCCGCGUGUAGCAGUGAAAUGCGUAGAGAUGUGGAGGAACACCGAUGGCGAAGGCAGCCCCCUGGGCCAAUACUGACGCUCACGCACGAAAGCGUGGGGAACAAACAGGAUUAGAUACCCCCGUAGUCCCUGUCUCUUAUAC